AGAUUGAACGCUGGCGGCAGGCCUAACACAUGCAAGUCGAGCGGCAGCACGGGUACUUGUACCUGGUGGCGAGCGGCGGACGGGUGAGUAAUGCCUAGGAAUCUGCCUGAUAGUGGGGGAUAACGCUCGGAAACGGACGCUAAUACCGCAUACGUCCUACGGGAGAAAGCAGGGGACCUUCGGGCCUUGCGCUAUCAGAUGAGCCUAGGUCGGAUUAGCUAGUUGGUGGGUAAUGGCUCACCAAGGCGACGAUCCGUAACUGGUCUGAGAGGAUGAUCAGUCACACUGGAACUGAGACACGGUCCAGACUCCUACGGGAGGCAGCAGUGGGGAAUAUUGGACAAUGGGCGAAAGCCUGAUCCAGCCAUGCCGCGUGUGUGAAGAAGGUCUUCGGAUUGAAAGCACUUUAAGUUGGAGAAGGCAGUUACCUAAUACGUAUCUGUUUUGACGUUACCGACAGAAUAAGCACCGGCUAACUCUGU
Molecule: ribosomal RNA, 482 nt
Filed under: uncultured soil bacterium
Lineage: Bacteria
Description: bacterial SSU rRNA
Rfam family: Bacterial small subunit ribosomal RNA
Source: RNAcentral